GUCUUGAUGAGAAACUUGUUGACACCGGUCUUACGAAGUUUCUUGGCCUCUGCCCUUCAGCCUUGUCUCGGUACUUGGAGAUUGCCUCUGCAUGCUCCACCUCCUCGGCCCCUUUCAUGACCAAGCGCUCUCCCUCCAUGAGAGCAAGGGAUCAAUGACUUGCACGGAAGUCCCGCCUCUGCGGUACCAUGGCGCUGCAAUGCCCAUGGCCCUACUAUCCGUCGCCUCGCAUCUGCAUCCCUUUUGAUCAGUAGACAUGUCUCCGUGGCCCUCCUCUGAGUCCACCUCCAUUCUAAAUGAUGCUUGAUUUUGGGUAGCUAAGUCCCUCUGGACUCGUCGUCGCUUCCUUGCCCCUUUCGACCCCCUGCUUCAACACCUCUGUGUUCUCCAAGCAGCUCCUUCUGGUCGAUGGAAAGACAGACUGCACUCCCAUGCAUGGCCUCUGCCAUCGCAUUGUAGGGUUUGCACCAAUUCUGUUCUCCUUAGCUUCCUUGGUAGCAACGUUCGCUUACUCGGCCUUGUCCUCUGACUUGCCGGGCUCCCUUAAGCGAAUAUGAGCUCUGGAGCAGUCCAACUCUCCAGCUGCUUCGAUCAUACCUCUGCAUGAUCAAGUCCCUCCCAUGGAACUCACUGGUACUUGCAUUCGAACUUUUCCCUUGGUGGAACCCAGCCACUAUAUGCUGAUGACUAAGGUUUUCAUCCGAUGCAAAAUUCGGUGCACGCCCGGAAGACCCGCCUCUGCGGUACCAUGGCCUUCACUCCUUGAAUCCAUAGCCCUUCUUGCCGUCGUGUUGUUCACCAAAGCGGAGCUCCCAGUAGCUCCCGAUCAUACCUCCAUAUGAUCUCAUCCCUCACGGGACACACUGGUGUGUAUCGCAUUGCCACGAACUAUUCCACCACGAUCCGCUACACCAUGUCGCCUCCUGGUGACAUCUCCAUUGCAUUCUGAUCCUUGGGGAAUAAACUCGAAUUGUGAACCCUCCAUGUGUGGCCUCUACCAAUACAUCGCAGGGUCUCUUCCACCUUCGAUUUUGUUUGCUCCUUUGGCAAUCGAUCUUCAUCCACCCACUCUUGGGUCACCCCUAGAUGAAGCACCGCUCUAGGACAGUCCGUCGCCUAGUAGCUCCCGAAGUCCGCCGACUUCGCUGUAAUUUGUGCACCAUUGCCUGGAUCCUGGGCCUCUGCCCCUACCAGCACAAUCUCUACUGCGCACCGCUUCCUUCCUAGCAACUCGAAUGGCAACACUGUGGCAUAUUCUUCAAGAGUACCCGCCUCUGCGUCCUCUUGCCCCGUGCUAAGGCCUUCUGAACUCAACUUCGCCUCCGCAAAUUGAGUCGCCUUAGUUCCUUCAUCAAAUGCUCCUCCGAGAUAAGGUGCAUGUGCCCCGAAGCUCCCUUCGUCUUUGGCACCAUGUAAGAUGAGUCCGCUCCGUCAGAAUGAAAGACCCAUGGAACAACAUGAUCCCACUCUUGCCUCUGCAAGUGUUCAUGUCCUUGACCCCUGUCUAAGGAAAGCACUGUGCCUCUGCUCCAUGUUCCAACUUCUCUGCUGGCUCCCUUCAUGCGGCUUGGGUACUUCGCCAAGUUACACCCAAGUUGCUCCGCUCCUCGUUUUCGCAUUGAGUCGAUGGUGGCCCUCGUGCCCACCAUUCCACGGGUCAGCCCUCCCUUGAGUCCGAUCUCAUAUCGACUCCAAGUGUGCCUUCAUCUGUGUUGCUCCCCCACUUGAUCUCGCAAUGCAUCCACCAAUGCAUUCUCUCAAGCGAGAUCAUGCGAUGACUCCUCGCCGCUUGCUCAGUCCAUCGAGCUUCGUGGAGUUGUUCUUUAUUGAGGUACUCCUCCUCAACAUGUGAAGUCCGUCUCAUAUGAUUCUCCCUCUGGAGAGCUGAGACUUAUCCCUCCUGGAUAACUGUCCCAUUGGAGCAACAUCUCUCUUCGUUUCGAAGACCACCAUCCCCN
This 1958-nucleotide long non-coding RNA is filed under the name Musa acuminata (dwarf banana). Its description in RNAcentral is "long non-coding RNA (MACU_LNC010385)". The record is from RNAcentral. Lineage: Eukaryota; Viridiplantae; Streptophyta; Magnoliopsida; Zingiberales; Musaceae.